RNAcentral lists this ribosomal RNA (253 nucleotides) under uncultured bacterium. RNAcentral's name for it is "partial 16S ribosomal RNA". It matches the Rfam family "Bacterial small subunit ribosomal RNA", at positions 524 to 776 of the family's 1533-position model. The record is from RNAcentral.
UACAGAGGUCUCAACCGUUGUUCGGAUUCAUUGGGCGUAAAGGGUGCGUAGGCGGUCGCGCAAGUCGGAUGUGAAAUCUCAGGGCUCAACCCCGAAACUGCAUUCGAUACUGCGUGGCUAGAGUGCUGGAGAGGAGACUGGAAUUUACGGUGUAGCAGUGAAAUGCGUAGAUAUCGUAAGGAAGACCAGUGGCGAAGGCGAGUCUCUGGACAGCAACUGACGCUGAGGCACGAAGGCCAGGGGAGCAAACGGG